RNAcentral lists this ribosomal RNA (1049 nucleotides) under unidentified archaeon. Its description in RNAcentral is "16S ribosomal RNA". The record is from RNAcentral.
GGGUCUCGCUCGUUACCUGACUUAACAGGAUGCUUCACAGUACGAACUGACGACGGCCAUGCACCACCUCUCAGCUAAUCCGGUAAAGUCUUCAGCCUGACCUUCAUAUCGCUGUCGCCCCCGGUGAGAUUUCCGGCGUUGAAUCCAAUUAAACCGCAGGCUCCACCCGUUGUAGUGCUCCCCCGCCAAUUCCUUUAAGUUUCAGCCUUGCGGCCAUACUUCCCAGGUGGCUCGCUUCACGGCUUCCCUACGGCACCAAUCACGGUCGCACCGUGACUGACACCUAGCGAGCAUCGUUUACGGCUAGGACUACCCGGGUAUCUAAUCCGGUUCGUGCCCCUAGCUUUCGUCCCUUACCGUCGGACCCGUUCUGGUGAGACGCCUUCGCCACUGGUGGUCCCUCGAGGAUCACAAGAUUUCACCCCUACCCCCAAGGUACCUCUCACCUCUCCCGGUCCCAAGCCAAACAGUAUCCCCUAGCAGCCUGACAGUUGAGCUGCCAGAUUUCCCAAGGGACUUACCUGGCCGGCUACAGACCCUUUAGACCCAAUAAUAGCGGUUACCACUCGGGCCGCCGGUGUUACCGCGGCGGCUGGCACCGGUCUUGCCCGGCCCUUGCUAACAGAUGCUUUUUAGGCAUCUGGACAGCCAACAUUAUAUGCUGGCACUCGAGAUCCCCUUAUCACGGUUUCCCGCAUUGUAAAGUUUUCGCGCCUGCUGCACCCCGUAGGGCCUGGAUUCGUGUCUCAGAAUCCAUCUCCGGGCUCUUGCUCUCACAACCUGUACCCGUCGUAGGCUAGUAGGUACGUUACACCCACUACAACCCUGAUAGGCCGCAGACCCAUCCUCGGGCGCCGGAGCUUUCGGCCACCGCGCAUUCCAGCAUCGGUGACCUAUCCGGAAUUAUUCCCAGUUUCCCAGGAUUAUGCCGGACCCAAGGGUAGGUUGUCCACGUGUUACUGAGCAGUCCGCCAUGUUCACGAAGAACAUUCAACUCGCAUGGCUUAGUCGAAUCUCGAUAGCAGUAACCUCUGGCAGGAUCAACCGGA